GGUGUUUUGGGCACUUCCAGUAUAGGCAUCCUUUCACUCGUAAUGAAUAGGUCAUCGGUUCGAUUCCGAUAGGCGGCUCCA
This 81-nucleotide transfer RNA is filed under the name Branchiibius hedensis. RNAcentral describes it as "tRNA_Thr_CGT". The record is from RNAcentral. Lineage: Bacteria; Bacillati; Actinomycetota; Actinomycetes; Micrococcales; Dermacoccaceae.